GAAAUGCGAUAAGUAAUUUGAAUUGCAGAAUUCCGUGAAUCAUCGAAUCUUUUAACUCACAUUGCGCCCUCUGGCAUUCCGGGGGGCAUGCCUGUCCGAGCGUCAUUACGCACCCUCAAGCCCGGCUUGUGUGAUGGGCCCCGGCGUCUCGUUCGCGAGACGGGCCCGAAAGGCAGCGGCGGCGUCGACCCGAUGAGCCCGAGCGUAUGGGGACUUCUGUCACACGUUCGCGGUGCGGACCGGCGCCUGCUUGACUUUUCUGAUUAUCCAGGUUGACCUCGGAUCAGGUAGGGAUACCCGCUGAACUUAAGC
RNAcentral lists this unclassified non-coding RNA (312 nucleotides) under plant metagenome. Its description in RNAcentral is "partial contains 5.8S ribosomal RNA, internal transcribed spacer 2, and large subunit ribosomal RNA". The stretch from base 1 to 105 matches the Rfam family "5.8S ribosomal RNA", at positions 50 to 154 of the family's 154-position model. The record is from RNAcentral.